GCGGUUGUAGUACAGCUUGGUUAAUAUGCGGGAUUGCCAAUUCCGCGACCCGGGUUCAAAUCCCGGCAACCGCA
Molecule: non-coding RNA, 74 nt
Organism: Thaumarchaeota archaeon 13_1_40CM_3_38_6
Lineage: Archaea; Thermoproteati; Nitrososphaerota
Source: Rfam